GAUAACGCUGGCGGCGUGCCUAACACAUGCAAGUCGAACGCUCUCUCGGCAACGAGAGGGAGUGGCGGACGGUGAGUAACACGUGGAUAACCUACCUCGAGGUGAGGAAUACCGGCGAGAAUCGCUGACAAUGCCGCAUAAGUUUGGAACAAACAAAGCCGUAAGGCGCCAUGAGAUGGGUCCACGGCCGAUUAGCUGGUUGGGUGGGAAG
RNAcentral lists this ribosomal RNA (211 nucleotides) under uncultured bacterium. Its description in RNAcentral is "partial 16S ribosomal RNA". It matches the Rfam family "Bacterial small subunit ribosomal RNA", at positions 32 to 260 of the family's 1533-position model. The record is from RNAcentral.